AGUGAACGCUGGCGGUAGGCCUAACACAUGCAAGUCGAACGGCAGCACAGUAAGAGCUUGCUCUUACGGGUGGCGAGUGGCGGACGGGUGAGGAAUACAUCGGAAUCUACUUUUUCGUGGGGGAUAACGUAGGGAAACUUACGCUAAUACCGCAUACGACCUACGGGUGAAAGCAGGGGAUCUUCGGACCUUGCGCGAUUGAAUGAGCCGAUGUCGGAUUAGCUAGUUGGCGGGGUAAAGGCCCACCAAGGCGACGAUCCGUAGCUGGUCUGAGAGGAUGAUCGGCCACACUGGAACUGAGACACGGUCCAGACUCCUACGGGAGGCAGCAGUGGGGAAUAUUGGACAGUGGGCGCAAGCCUGAUCCAACCAUACCGCGUGUGUGAAAGAGGCCUUCGGGUUGUAAAGCCCUUUUGUUGGGAAAGAAAAGCAGCAGGUUAAUACCCCGCUGUUCUGACGGUACCCAAAGAAUAAGCACCGGCUAACUUCGUG
RNAcentral lists this ribosomal RNA (492 nucleotides) under uncultured bacterium. RNAcentral's name for it is "partial 16S ribosomal RNA". It matches the Rfam family "Bacterial small subunit ribosomal RNA", at positions 29 to 507 of the family's 1533-position model. The record is from RNAcentral.